CGGAUGAACGCUGGCGGCGUGCUUAAUACAUGCAAGUCGAACGAUAAGGUCUCUUCGGAGAUACAUAAGUGGCGGACGGGUGAGUAACACGUAGGAAAUCUGCCUCAAGGAGGGGGAUAACACCGGGAAACUGGUGCUAAUACCCCAUAUGUCAUAGAUUGAAAUAUCUAUGAUGAAAGUUCCGGCGCCUUGAGAUGAGCCUGCGUCUGAUUAGCUAGUUGGUGGGGUAAUUGCCUACCAAGGCGACGAUCAGUAGCUGGUCUGAGAGGAUGAUCAGCCACAAUGGGACUGAGACACGGCCCAUACUCCUACGGGAGGCAGCAGUAGGGAAUUUUGCGCAAUGGGCGAAAGCCUGACGCAGCAACACCGCGUGAGGGAUGAAGUUCUUUGGAGCGUAAACCUCUGUCAGUGGGGACGAAUUUUUGACGGUACCCACAAAGGAAGCAUCGGCUAACUACGUG
Molecule: ribosomal RNA, 461 nt
Filed under: uncultured bacterium
Lineage: Bacteria
Description: bacterial SSU rRNA
Rfam family: Bacterial small subunit ribosomal RNA
Source: RNAcentral